RNAcentral lists this ribosomal RNA (567 nucleotides) under uncultured bacterium. RNAcentral describes it as "bacterial SSU rRNA". It matches the Rfam family "Bacterial small subunit ribosomal RNA", at positions 337 to 917 of the family's 1533-position model. The record is from RNAcentral.
UCCUACGGGAGGCAGCAGUGGGGAAUUUUCCGCAAUGGGCGAAAGCCUGACGGAGCAAUACAGCGUGAGGGAAGACUGCCUAUGGGUUGUAAACCUCUUUUUUCAGGGAGGAAUAAAUGACGUGUACCUGAAGAAUAAGCAUCGGCUAACUCCGUGCCAGCAGCCGCGGUAAGACGGAGGAUGCAAGUGUUAUCCGGAAUCACUGGGCGUAAAGCGUCUGUAGGUGGUUAAGCAAGUCAACUGUUAAAUCUUGAGGCUCAACUUCAAAAUCGCAGUCGAAACUGUUUGACUAGAGUAUAGUAGGGGUAAAGGGAAUUUCCAGUGGAGCGGUGAAAUGCGUAGAUAUUGGAAAGAACACCGAUGGCGAAGGCACUUUACUGGGCUAUUACUGACACUCAGAGACGAAAGCUAGGGUAGCAAAUGGGAUUAGAUACCCCAGUAGUCCUAGCCGUAAACAAUGGAUACUAGAUGUUGAACAGAUCGACCUGUGCAGUAUCAAAGCUAACGCGUUAAGUAUCCCGCCUGGGAAGUAUGCUCGCAAGAGUGAAACUCAAAGGAAUUGACGGA